GUUUGAUCAUGGCUCAGAUUGAACGCUGGCGGCAUGCUUUACACAUGCAAGUCGAACGGCAGCGCGGGGGCAACCCUGGCGGCGAGUGGCGAACGGGUGAGUAAUGCAUCGGAACGUAUCCUGUAAUGGGGGAUAACGUAGCGAAAGUUACGCUAAUACCGCAUACGCUCGAGAGAGGAAAGUGGGGGAUCGCAAGACCUCACGUUAUAGGAGCGGCCGAUGUCCGAUUAGCUAGUUGGUGGGGUAAAGGCCUACCAAGGCGACGAUCGGUAGCUGGUCUGAGAGGAUGAUCAGCCACACUGGGACUGAGACACGGCCCAGACUCCUACGGGAGGCAGCAGUGGGGAAUUUUGGACAAUGGGCGAAAGCCUGAUCCAGCCAUGCCGCGUGCGGGAAGAAGGCCUUCGGGUUGUAAACCGCUUUAGUCCGGGAAAAAGGGGUGCGAGGAUAAUACCCUCGUGCUUUGAUGGUACUGGAAGAAUAAGCACCGGCUAACUACGUG
RNAcentral lists this ribosomal RNA (502 nucleotides) under uncultured bacterium. RNAcentral's name for it is "bacterial SSU rRNA". It matches the Rfam family "Bacterial small subunit ribosomal RNA", at positions 11 to 507 of the family's 1533-position model. The record is from RNAcentral.